Molecule: ribosomal RNA, 364 nt
Filed under: uncultured bacterium
Lineage: Bacteria
Description: partial 16S ribosomal RNA
Rfam family: Bacterial small subunit ribosomal RNA
Source: RNAcentral
CCUACGGGAGUCAGCAGUGAGGAAUAUUGGUCAAUGGCCGGAAGGCUGAACCAGCCAUGCCGCGUGAAGGUCAGUGCCCUUUGGGCGUUAAACUUCUUUUGUGCGGGAGCAAUAAUGGUCAUGUGUGGCCAGACGAGAUUACCGUACGAAUAAGCAUCGGCUAACUCCGUGCCAGCAGCCGCGGUAAUGCGGGGGGUGCAAGUGUUAUCCGGAUUGAUUGGGUUUAAAGGGUGCGUAGGCUGGGAGGUAAGUCAGCGGGGAAAUGCCCCCGCUCAACGGGGUGAAGUGCCAUUGAUACUGCCUUGCUGGAAUGCGGAUGCCGUGGGAGGAAUGUGUGGUGUAGCAGUGAAAUGCAUAGAUAUCA